UCCAUAUUCUAGUGAGACAGCUUUUCAAGUGCCUUUCUGCAGUUUUUCAGGAGCUCAAGGUAGAUU
Molecule: non-coding RNA, 66 nt
Organism: Erinaceus europaeus (western European hedgehog)
Lineage: Eukaryota; Metazoa; Chordata; Mammalia; Eulipotyphla; Erinaceidae
Source: Rfam